CCUACGGGAGGCAGCAGUGAGGAAUAUUGGUCAAUGGGCGCGAGCCUGAACCAGCCAAGUCGCGUGAGGGAUGACGGUCCUACGGAUUGUAAACCUCUUUUGCCGGGGAGCAAGCGUGCGUUCGUGAACGCGCGUCGAGAGUACCCGGAGAAAAAGCAUCGGCUAACUCCGUGCCAGCAGCCGCGGUAAUACGGAGGAUGCGAGCGGUAUCCGGAUUUAUUGGGUUUAAGGGGUGCGCAGGCGGAUUUUUAAGUCAGCGGUAAAAUCGUGGGGCUCAACCCCAUCCAGCCGUUGAAACUGGGGAACUAGAGUGUGCGAGAGGUAUGCGGAAUGCGUGGUGUAGCGGUGAAAUGCAUAGAUAUCACGCAGAACCCCGAUUGCGAAGGCAGCAUACCGGUGCACAACUGACGCUCAGGCACGAAAGCGUGGGUAUCGAACAGGAUUAGAUACCCUAGUAGUC
This 460-nucleotide ribosomal RNA is filed under the name uncultured bacterium. RNAcentral's name for it is "partial 16S ribosomal RNA". It matches the Rfam family "Bacterial small subunit ribosomal RNA", at positions 338 to 795 of the family's 1533-position model. The record is from RNAcentral.